GGAUGAGGACCCCUUAGCAGGAUUCAGCCUAUAGGGCCCCACGGAGGCCUGAACCACCACGGAGGCUACUGACGGAGGAAAACCUGGUCUAUUGCGAAAGGCACAAGAUGUACUGUAAGCAGCCCUUAGUGUUUCAUGAAAUAGACAAGGAUGUAAAAGCAUGUUUGCUUUGAAUAGGCCUAUCUCUAACCUUUAGAAGACUUUUCCUCCACUAAGUGAGUCAACACUGAAGUUGGGGCCCCGCAAAGAGCCGGGACAGAUUGCGCAAUCGGUCUGCAUUUAAAAGGACAGACGUGGAGAGAGACAGAGAGGGAACGAGGCACGUGAAUUUAGUGAAGUUCAAUUUGUGUCGGAUUGUAACAGCCUGCUCCAGCCUCAUCCAGGAUGCAUCUUCUAGCGAAACACAUUCUCAUCCUCCAAAUCAUCGUCCUGUUUGCAACAACCUGCCAGACUCUGCUAUGCCCUAACUGUUAUGAAGUGACGUGCAAUAACCCGACGGACUGCAAGGGGGGGUGGGCCAAAGAUGAGUGUGGCUGCUGCAGUAUCUGUGCCAAGGUGAAGGGCGAAGAGUGUGGGGGCCCCUGGGGGCUGAGCGGCACCUGCGACAAGGGGCUGAAGUGUGUGUACGGCCAAAUGUACCGCCCCGACAGGACUGGCGUUUGCGAGGUCUGUAUACAUGUAGUUGACAAACAAGGGCAUUUUUACCGUUACGCGUGUCUUGUUAAAUGAAUGUUUGUGAAAGCCUACGUCACUCACCUCCAUCUAUUUCUUGGUAAUUAGCUAUGCUACAUGAUUGAUUGUAAAUAUAUCAUGAUCGACCAAUUUGUGUAAAAGGGACAUUGUGCGAUGCUCCUGAAAAGGUGUAUCAUGCUUAUGCCGUGAAAAAGUUGAAUAUGACAUAAUAUGACGAAUAUGGCCAUUAACACAGGAAGAAGUCAAAAGAGGAAAACAAACACACAUUACUUAAUAGAGGUCCGAAAACAAGGAAAGUUUUUUUUUUUUAUUAUGGCAUUAUCCUGUUUUACGAAGAGCGCCCUCUUGUGGAAUUUGUAAGGUUUACACUAGCAGCACCCAGAGCUGAAACUGUGACAUGUUUGUAAAAGGCUGCAAUUGUGUCCUUCCCUCCUGAAACACUAAAUCAUGUCUCUUCAUGUCUCCCACAGAUAAUAUGACGAGUUGAGCCAGAGAAUGGAGGCCAUUACAGGGAAUCGAGAGGAGCUCAUCCAGAAUGGUGCACCCAUUACCCAACAUAUGCUUGAAGUGACAGGAGUGCAGAUGAGAAUCCUACAGCAUGCUGUACUGUCUGCUGCCUUCCCCUUUGCCUUACUGCACAAUAAAGUACUUACAGCAACCUGCCUGUUGUGCUCACGCUCA
This is a long non-coding RNA of Sardina pilchardus (European sardine), 1374 nucleotides long. RefSeq lists it as uncharacterized. The record is from RefSeq and is a predicted model, not a curated record. NCBI's taxonomy places the organism in Eukaryota, Metazoa, Chordata, Actinopteri, Clupeiformes, Clupeidae. The transcript has 2 exons.